Molecule: ribosomal RNA, 274 nt
Filed under: uncultured bacterium
Lineage: Bacteria
Description: partial 16S ribosomal RNA
Rfam family: Bacterial small subunit ribosomal RNA
Source: RNAcentral
AUACGUAGGGAGCAAGCGUUGUCCGGAUUUACUGGGUGUAAAGGGCGCGCAGGCGGGUUGGUAAGUCAGAGGUGAAAUCCUACAGCUUAACUGUAGAACUGCCUUUGAUACUACUAAUCUUGAGUAUGGAAGAGAGAGACGGAAUUCCAGGUGUAGUGGUGAAAUGCGUAGAUAUCCGGAGGAACACCAGUGGCGAAGGCGGCUUCCUGGACCAACCCUGACACUGAGGCGCGAAAGCGUGGGGAGCAAACAGGAUUAGAAACCCCAGUAGUCC